Molecule: small RNA, 919 nt
Filed under: Pongo abelii (Sumatran orangutan)
Lineage: Eukaryota; Metazoa; Chordata; Mammalia; Primates; Hominidae
Description: retained intron
Source: RNAcentral
AGUGCCCGGCAGGUUGGCGGACCGGCGGGAGGCGCAGCCUGGGCAGAGCUCAGCUUGGUCCCGCCGCCCGGCCGGUGCUCCCGGGCACAGCCACGCAGGCGCACCGCAGACAGACCCCUCUGCCAUGAACCAGUCCAUCCCAGUGGCUCCCACCCCACCCCGCCGUGUGCGGCUGAAGCCCUGGCUGGUGGCCCAGGUGAACAGCUGCCAGUACCCAGGGCUUCAAUGGGUCAACGGGGAAAAGAAAUUAUUCUGCAUCCCCUGGAGGCAUGCCACGAGGCAUGGUCCCAGCCAGGAUGGAGAUAACACCAUCUUCAAGGCCUGGGCCAAGGAGACAGGGAAAUACACCGAAGGCGUAGAUGAAGCCGAUCCGGCCAAGUGGAAGGCCAACCUGCGCUGCGCCCUUAACAAGAGCCGGGACUUCCGCCUCAUCUACGACGGGCCCCGGGACAUGCCACCUCAGCCCUACAAGAUCUACGAGACUCCCAGCCCCCUGAGGAUUACUCUUUUGGUGCAGGAGAGGAGGAGGAAGAAGAGGAAGAGGUGAGUGUGGGGUGAGGAGGCAGGUGGAGCCCUGGACGAGCUCUCUGCUGUCCCCAUCGGCCUUAGGUUUCCACAGCCCCACUCCCAUGAAGCCCCGUGGCCCUCUCAAUGGUUCUCCUUGUUUCUUCUGGGAUUCUGAAUGAUAGGAGCACAGUCCCCACCUGCUCCUUCCCAGGGCGUUGUCAUUACCCUGUUGUGUGACCCACGCAGCAGUUGGGGCUUGGUAGGUCUGACUCCCCGCAGAAGGCAAAUGAGGAAAGUGAGGCAAAGGGCUUUUCUGACCUGCCUGGGAUGGACGAGCUGGGACCGGAGGCAGGGUCUUGCCUGAGCUAAACUGAGGCUAGGGGAGUUGCCUCAUGGUUCUCCCCUGUUAUUU